This is a non-coding RNA of Empidonax traillii (willow flycatcher), 684 nucleotides long. The record is from the annotation of a RefSeq genome assembly. Lineage: Eukaryota; Metazoa; Chordata; Aves; Passeriformes; Tyrannidae.
GAACCCAACUGGGAACCCAACUGGAAGGGUCUUGGUCAACUGGGAGAGUCUUGGUCAACUGGGAGAGUCUUGGUCAACUGGAAGGGUUCUUGGUCAACUGGAAGGGUUCUUGGUCAACUGGGAGAGUCUUGGUCAACUGAGAGAGUCUUGGCCAACUGGGAGAGUCUUGGCCAACUGGAAGGGUUCUUGGUCAACUGGAAGGGUCUUGACCACCUGGAAGGCUCUUCCCCCCUCUCACCAUGUCCCCUCCCUCCUCCCCCCCCCUCAGCCAUCACGCCGGUGCCGCCCCAAGUCUACGUCUUCCCCCCUCCAUCGGAGGAGCUGGCGCGCGGCGAGACGGUGACCCUGACGUGCCUGGUCAGCGGCUUCUUCCCCGCCGACGUCCUCCUGACCUGGAACCAGCAGGACCGGCCGGUGGAGCGGAGCCGCUACCUCCUCUUCGGCCCCCGGCCCGACGGCAGCGCCGACGACGACGCCGGCACCUUCUCCCUCUACAGCAAGCUGAGCGCCGGCGCCGAGGACUGGCGGCGCGGCGACGUCUUCACCUGCGUGGUGGGGCACGACGGGGUGGACGGGGCGGUGAAGUUCGUGCAGAGGAGCCUGGACAAGAGCGUGGGGCGGCCCCAGAACGUCAACGUGUCGGUGGUGGUGGCCGACUCCGACGUCACCUGCUACUGACGCCGG